This 96-nucleotide microRNA precursor is filed under the name Podarcis lilfordi (Lilford's wall lizard). Lineage: Eukaryota; Metazoa; Chordata; Lepidosauria; Squamata; Lacertidae. The record is from RNAcentral.
CCUCCAGAUGUUUUGAGACUACAAUUCCCAUCAUCCCUGACCAAUAGUCUUGUUAGCUAGGGAUGAUGCGAGUUGUAGUCCCAAAACAGCUGGAGG